Molecule: ribosomal RNA, 305 nt
Filed under: uncultured bacterium
Lineage: Bacteria
Description: partial 16S ribosomal RNA
Rfam family: Bacterial small subunit ribosomal RNA
Source: RNAcentral
ACAGCAGCAGCCGCGGUAAUACGGAGGGUGCAAGCGUUAAUCGGAAUUACUGGGCGUAAAGCGCACGCAGGCGGUCUGUCAAGUCAGAUGUGAAAUCCCCGGGCUUAACCUGGGAACUGCAUUUGAAACUGGCAGGCUAGAGUCUUGUAGAGGGGGGUAGAAUUCCAGGUGUAGCGGUGAAAUGCGUAGAGAUCUGGAGGAAUACCGGUGGCGAAGGCGGCCCCCUGGACAAAGACUGACGCUCAGGUGCGAAAGCGUGGGGAGCAAACAGGAUUAGAUACCCCUGUAGUCCCUGUCUCUUAUAC